This 506-nucleotide ribosomal RNA is filed under the name uncultured bacterium. RNAcentral's name for it is "bacterial SSU rRNA". It matches the Rfam family "Bacterial small subunit ribosomal RNA", at positions 999 to 1504 of the family's 1533-position model. The record is from RNAcentral.
UGCAGAGAUGCGGGAGUGCCUUCGGGAAUUAGAAUACAGGUGCUGCAUGGCUGUCGUCAGCUCGUGUCGUGAGAUGUUGGGUUAAGUCCCGCAACGAGCGCAACCCUUGUCCUUAGUUACCAGCGGUUUGGCCGGGAACUCUAAGGAUACUGCCAGUGACAAACUGGAGGAAGGCGGGGACGACGUCAAGUCAUCAUGGCCCUUACGACCAGGGCUACACACGUGCUACAAUGGUAGGUACAGAGGGCAGCUACACAGCGAUGUGAUGCGAAUCUCAAAAAGCCUAUCGUAGUCCAGAUUGGAGUCUGCAACUCGACUCCAUGAAGUAGGAAUCGCUAGUAAUCGCGGAUCAGAAUGCCGCGAUGAAUACGUUCCCGGGCCUUGUACACACCGCCCGUCACACCAUGGGAGUUGAUUGCACCAGAAGUGGGUAGCCUAACCUUUUAGGAUGGCGCUCACCACGGUGUGGUUGAUGACUGGGGUGAAGUCGUAACAAGGUAACCGUA